This 228-nucleotide ribosomal RNA is filed under the name uncultured bacterium. RNAcentral describes it as "partial 16S ribosomal RNA". It matches the Rfam family "Bacterial small subunit ribosomal RNA", at positions 103 to 334 of the family's 1533-position model. The record is from RNAcentral.
CGGGUGAGUAAUGUAUGGGGAUCUGCCUGAUGGCGGGGGAUAACUACUGGAAACGGUAGCUAAUACCGCAUAAUGUCUGCGGACCAAAGCGGGGGACCUCCGGGCCUCGCGCCAUCAGAUGAACCCAUAUGGGAUUAGCUUGUAGGUAAGGUAACGGCUUACCUAGGCGACGAUCCCUAGCUGGUCUGAGAGGAUGAUCAGCCACACUGGAACUGAGACACGGUCCAG